AUGGUCUCAGAGAUGGGGUCAGCUGUUCUCCAGCUCUGCUUACUGUGUCUCUGGAUUCUAGGCACCCCUGGUGAUGUUUUGCUGACCCAGUUUCCAUCUUUGUUGCCUUUGUCUAGGGAAGAGGACCAGCAACUCCUGCAGAAUCAUCAAGGAGUUCACCAACCUGAAGUCCAAGCAAGGGGGAGUAAGAUUGAGUCACAGACCCAGAUCCUUAUGCCAGUGCUCCUCUGGUUGUCUGGUGCCUGUGCAGAUAUGGUGCUGACCCAGUCUCCAUCUUCCAUGGCUGUGAGAGCAGGAGAGAAGGUCAUCAUCAGCUGCAAGUCCAGUCAGAGUCUUUUUGACAGUAAAAACCAGAAGAACUACUUGACCUGGUACCAGCAGAAGCCAGGGCAGGCUCCUAAAAUGUUAAUCGACUAUGCAUCUACUCAGUACACUGGGGUCCCUGAUCGCUUCGUAGGCAGUGGAUCUGAGACAGAUUUCACUCUCACCAUCAACAGUGUUCACACUGAAGAUCUGGCCGAUUACUACUGUAUGCAAUUUUCUGAAUUUCCUCCCACAGUGCUUCAGCCUCCAACAAAAACUUCUGAGAGUCUCAGAAGCUGCCUGCACCACAGGCUGCCCUGCACCCUCACACUUCUCUCUUCUGCCUGGAAGACAGUGUGCCUGAAACUCUGA
Molecule: non-coding RNA, 675 nt
Organism: Arvicola amphibius (Eurasian water vole)
Lineage: Eukaryota; Metazoa; Chordata; Mammalia; Rodentia; Cricetidae
Source: the annotation of a RefSeq genome assembly